CUCCUUCUGAGGCGUUGGUGACUGCCAAUAACGUUUUAUGAUCUAUGCUCGACAAAACGGGAGCUAAGAGCCUAUGGCGGCAGUAGACCGGGCUUGCCUUGUGCAAGAUUUCCCGGAAACUUUAAGCCAGUUCGGACGUGGCACCCACCUGGUUUAGGCCAGGUCAAAAACUGAGGUAAGACGGCGCUCCCGGAAGGAUG
Molecule: non-coding RNA, 200 nt
Filed under: Leptolyngbya sp. FACHB-261
Lineage: Bacteria; Bacillati; Cyanobacteriota; Cyanophyceae; Leptolyngbyales; Leptolyngbyaceae
Description: 6S / SsrS RNA
Rfam family: 6S / SsrS RNA
About the family: E. coli 6S RNA was the first non coding RNA to be sequenced, but its function was unknown until recently.
Source: Rfam by way of RNAcentral